GUGUCAGCAGCCGCGGUAAUACGUAGGGGGCAAGCGUUGUUCGGAAUUACUGGGCGUAAAGCGCGCGUAGGCGGUUUGAAAAGUCAGAUGUGAAAGCCCCGGGCUCAACUUGGGAACUGCAUUUGAUACUGUCAGACUAGAGUACAGAAGAGGUGACUGGAAUUCCCAGUGUAGCGGUGAAAUGCGUAGAUAUUGGGAGGAACACCAGAUGCGAAGGCGGGUCACUGGGCUGAUACUGACGCUGAAGUGCGAAAGCCAGGGGAGCGAACGGGAUUAGAAACCCCGGUAGUCC
RNAcentral lists this ribosomal RNA (292 nucleotides) under uncultured bacterium. RNAcentral's name for it is "partial 16S ribosomal RNA". It matches the Rfam family "Bacterial small subunit ribosomal RNA", at positions 505 to 796 of the family's 1533-position model. The record is from RNAcentral.